CCUANGGGUGGCAGCAGUGGGGAAUUUUGCGCAAUGGGCGAAAGCCUGACGCAGCAACGCCGCGUGGAGGAUGAAGGCCUUCGGGUCGUAAACUCCUGUCGAUGGGGAAGAAGUUCUCGUAAGAGGAUUGACUGUACCCGUUGAGGAAGCCACGGCUAACUCCGUGCCAGCAGCCGCGGUAAUACGGAGGUGGCAAGCGUUGUUCGGAAUUACUGGGCGUAAAGGGCGCGUAGGCGGCUUUACAAGUCAGAUGUGAAAGCCCCGGGCUUAACCCGGGAACUGCAUCUGAAACUGAAACGCUUGAGUUCUGGAGGGGGUAGUGGAAUUCCCAGUGUAGCGGUGAAAUGCGUAGAUAUUGGGAGGAACACCGGCGGCGAAGGCGGCUACCUGGACAGUGACUGACGCUGAGGCGCGAAAGCUAGGGGAGCGAACGGGAUUAGAUACCCCANUANUC
Molecule: ribosomal RNA, 454 nt
Filed under: uncultured bacterium
Lineage: Bacteria
Description: bacterial SSU rRNA
Rfam family: Bacterial small subunit ribosomal RNA
Source: RNAcentral